UACGUAGGUGGCAAGCGUUAUCCGGAAUUAUUGGGCGUAAAGCGCGCGCAGGCGGUUUCUUAAGUCUGAUGUGAAAGCCCACGGCUCAACCGUGGAGGGUCAUUGGAAACUGGGGAACUUGAGUGCAGAAGAGAAAAGCGAAAUUCCACGUGUAGCGGUGAAAUGCGUAGAGAUGUGGAGGAACACCAGUGGCGAAGGCGGCUUUUUGGUCUGUAACUGACGCUGAGGCGCGAAAGCGUGGGGAGCAAACAGG
This 253-nucleotide ribosomal RNA is filed under the name uncultured bacterium. RNAcentral describes it as "partial 16S ribosomal RNA". It matches the Rfam family "Bacterial small subunit ribosomal RNA", at positions 524 to 776 of the family's 1533-position model. The record is from RNAcentral.